RNAcentral lists this ribosomal RNA (584 nucleotides) under Arthronema africanum OF18. RNAcentral's name for it is "bacterial SSU rRNA". It matches the Rfam family "Bacterial small subunit ribosomal RNA", at positions 135 to 751 of the family's 1533-position model. The record is from RNAcentral. Lineage: Bacteria; Bacillati; Cyanobacteriota; Cyanophyceae; Leptolyngbyales; Leptolyngbyaceae.
GGUCGGGGAUAACGACUGGAAACGGUCGCUAAUACCGGAUGUGCCGAGAGGUGAAAGCUUAAUGUGCCUGAAGAUGAGCUCGCGUCCGAUUAGCUAGUUGGUGGGGUAAGAGCCUACCAAGGCGGUGAUCGGUAGCUGGUUUGAGAGGAUGAUCAGCCACACUGGGACUGAGACACGGCCCAGACUCCUACGGGAGGCAGCAGUGGGGAAUUUUCCGCAAUGGGCGCAAGCCUGACGGAGCAAUACCGCGUGCGGGAGGAAGGCUUUUGGGUCGUAAACCGCUUUUAUUGGGGAAGAAGCUCUGACGGUACCCAAUGAAUCAGCAUCGGCUAACUCCGUGCCAGCAGCCGCGGUAAUACGGAGGAUGCAAGCGUUAUCCGGAAUUAUUGGGCGUAAAGCGUCCGCAGGUGGCUGGUCAAGUCUGCUGUUAAAGCGUAGAGCUUAACUCUAUAUCGGCAGUGGAAACUGGACAGCUAGAGUACGGUAGGGGUAGCGGGAAUUCCCAGUGUAGCGGUGAAAUGCGUAGAUAUUGGGAAGAACACCAGCGGCGAAAGCGCGCUACUGGGCCUGUACUGACACUGAGG